Molecule: long non-coding RNA, 431 nt
Filed under: Gossypium raimondii (Peruvian cotton)
Lineage: Eukaryota; Viridiplantae; Streptophyta; Magnoliopsida; Malvales; Malvaceae
Description: long non-coding RNA (GRAI_LNC009536)
Source: RNAcentral
GCUACAGGAGCACUAACGGAUUCUUGCCCUUCCCCUAAUCGAGAGUAAACACAAAACCCCCAUUAAAACACUAGCCAGGAAAUAUUAAGAUCAUAUUAAUAAAAGACUUGCCGAACGAACGCAGUCAAAAGUUGCACAAAAGGAGGUGAAUUUGGAAAACCGAAAAUGAGAGAAAGAGACGAAAAUUGAACAGGGGAGAAAAGGGAAUAGGAAACGUCAAAUAUGGAAAAGAGGAAUUUUGGGAAAAAUAAAAUAAAAUGAAAAAAAGUUAAAAGGAAUAAAAUAAAAUCUUUUUAAAAUCCAAAAAUCCUACUAAUAUCCAAACUCCCCACAUAUCCACAUCCAACUACCCUAAAAUUCUAGCUCCACCGAAACUCUAUUAGUCAACUGAGCAAAAAUUAACACCCAUGCUAAUACAUAAAUUUGAACAC